This 484-nucleotide ribosomal RNA is filed under the name Filifactor villosus. RNAcentral's name for it is "bacterial SSU rRNA". It matches the Rfam family "Bacterial small subunit ribosomal RNA", at positions 9 to 495 of the family's 1533-position model. The record is from RNAcentral. Lineage: Bacteria; Bacillati; Bacillota; Clostridia; Peptostreptococcales; Filifactoraceae.
GAGUUUGAUUCUGGCUCAGGAUGAACGCUGGCGGCGUGCUUAACACAUGCAAGUCGAACGGGCGAAUUAUAUCGGAGGUCUUCGGGCCGAAGAGAUAAUAAGCUAGUGGCGGACGGGUGCGUAACGUGUGGGUAAUCUGCCUUUGUCAUAGGAAUAACUGCUUGAAAAAGUAGCUAAUACCAAAUAACAUAUCGUAUAGGCAUCUAUAAGAUAUCAAAGAGAAAUCGGACAAAGAUGAGCCCGCAUCUGAUUAGCUGGUUGGUAGGGUAAAAGCCUACCAAGGCGACGAUCAGUAGCCGGCCUGAGAGGGUGAACGGCCACAUUGGAACUGAGACACGGUCCAAACUCCUACGGGAGGCAGCAGUGGGGAAUAUUGCACAAUGGGGGGAACCCUGAUGCAGCAACGCCGCGUGAGUGAAGAAGGCUUUCGAGUCGUAAAACUCUGUUGUAAGGGAAGAUAAUGACGUACCUAAAAGAAGCCCCG